Molecule: unclassified non-coding RNA, 221 nt
Filed under: Hevea brasiliensis (rubber tree)
Lineage: Eukaryota; Viridiplantae; Streptophyta; Magnoliopsida; Malpighiales; Euphorbiaceae
Source: RNAcentral
AAAAUUGUUGAGUUUGCUGUAAAUAUUACUUUCUUGAUAGUAAGUUCUAUAUUGUCUUGUAUCCAUUGAAGUGGUGGCUAACAGGGGGUUGACUUCUUGUGGUAGGUUGCCAAAUACUGAACUCGUAUAUGAUUCCAACAGAAACAUUUAGCUGGUUUGCAAUGUACUUCAUAUUGAGUUUAAUGCUUUUGUUGUCUGUCAGAUGUGCCACAAGCAUGGGG